GAGGAAUAUUGGUCAAUGGGCGCAAGCCUGAACCAGCCAUCCCGCGUGAAGGAAGAAGGCGCUAUGCGUUGUAAACUUCUUUUCCAGGGGAAGAAAACCAGAUACGUGUAUCGGCUUGCCGGUACCCUGGGAAUAAGCAUCGGCUAACUCCGUGCCAGCAGCCGCGGUAAUACGGAGGAUGCGAGCGUUAUCCGGAUUUAUUGGGUUUAAAGGGUGCGUAGGCGGACAAAUAAGUCAGUGGUGAAAACCUGCAGCUUAACUGUAGAAUUGCCAUUGAUACUGUUAGUCUUGAGUAUGGUCAAGGUAGGCGGAAUGUGUAAUGUAGCGGUGAAAUGCUUAGAUAUUACACAGAACACCGAUUGCGAAGGCAGCUUACUGGACCAUUACUGACGCUGAUGCACGAAAGCGUGGGGAUCGAAC
Molecule: ribosomal RNA, 420 nt
Filed under: uncultured bacterium
Lineage: Bacteria
Description: bacterial SSU rRNA
Rfam family: Bacterial small subunit ribosomal RNA
Source: RNAcentral